GAUGAACGCUAGCGGGAGGCCUAACACAUGCAAGCCGAGCGGUAUUGUUUCUUCGGAAAUGAGAGAGCGGCGUACGGGUGCGUAACACGUGUGCAACCUGCCUUUAUCUGGGGGGUAGCCUUUCGAAAGGAAGAUUAAUACUCCAUAAUAUAUUGAACGGCAUCGUUUAAUAUUGAAAGCUCCGGCGGAUAGAGAUGGGCACGCGCAAGAUUAGCUAGUUGGUGAGGUAACGGCUCACCAAGGCGAUGAUCUUUAGGGGGCCUGAGAGGGUGAUCCCCCACACUGGUACUGAGACACGGACCAGACUCCUACGGGAGGCAACAGUGAGGAAUAUUGGUCAAUGGGUGCAAGCCUGAACCAGCCAUCCCGCGUGAAGGACGACUGCCCUAUGGGUUGUAAACUUCUUUUGUAUAGGGAUAAACCUACCCUCGAGAGGGUAGCUGAAGGUACUAUACGAAUAAGCACCGGCUAACUCCGUG
RNAcentral lists this ribosomal RNA (479 nucleotides) under uncultured bacterium. RNAcentral's name for it is "partial 16S ribosomal RNA". It matches the Rfam family "Bacterial small subunit ribosomal RNA", at positions 28 to 507 of the family's 1533-position model. The record is from RNAcentral.